RNAcentral lists this ribosomal RNA (436 nucleotides) under Escherichia coli. RNAcentral's name for it is "bacterial SSU rRNA". It matches the Rfam family "Bacterial small subunit ribosomal RNA", at positions 1097 to 1533 of the family's 1533-position model. The record is from RNAcentral. Lineage: Bacteria; Pseudomonadati; Pseudomonadota; Gammaproteobacteria; Enterobacterales; Enterobacteriaceae.
CGCAACCCUUAUCCUUUGUUGCCAGCGGUCCGGCCGGGAACUCAAAGGAGACUGCCAGUGAUAAACUGGAGGAAGGUGGGGAUGACGUCAAGUCAUCAUGGCCCUUACGACCAGGGCUACACACGUGCUACAAUGGCGUAUACAAAGAGAAGCGACCUCGCGAGAGCAAGCGGACCUCAUAAAGUGCGUCGUAGUCCGGAUUGGAGUCUGCAACUCGACUCCAUGAAGUCGGAAUCGCUAGUAAUCGUGGAUCAGAAUGCCACGGUGAAUACGUUCCCGGGCCUUGUACACACCGCCCGUCACACCAUGGGAGUGGGUUGCAAAAGAAGUAGGUAGCUUAACCUUCGGGAGGGCGCUUACCACUUUGUGAUUCAUGACUGGGGUGAAGUCGUAACAAGGUAACCGUAGGGGAACCUGCGGUUGGAUCACCUCCUUA